This 254-nucleotide ribosomal RNA is filed under the name uncultured bacterium. RNAcentral's name for it is "partial 16S ribosomal RNA". It matches the Rfam family "Bacterial small subunit ribosomal RNA", at positions 524 to 777 of the family's 1533-position model. The record is from RNAcentral.
UACGUAGGGUGCAAGCGUUGUCCGGAAUUAUUGGGCGUAAAGAGCUCGUAGGCGGUUUGUCGCGUCUGCUGUGAAAACUCGGGGCUCAACUCCGAGCUUGCAGUCGAUACGGGCAGGCUAGAGUUCGGCAGGGGAGACUGGAAUUCCUGGUGUAGCGGUGAAAUGCGCAGAUAUCAGGAGGAACACCGGUGGCGAAGGCGGGUCUCUGGGCCGAUACUGACACUGAGGAGCGAAAGCGUGGGGAGCGAACAGGA